RNAcentral lists this long non-coding RNA (4836 nucleotides) under Hordeum vulgare. Its description in RNAcentral is "long non-coding RNA (HVUL_LNC008500)". Lineage: Eukaryota; Viridiplantae; Streptophyta; Magnoliopsida; Poales; Poaceae. The record is from RNAcentral.
GUCUAUCAUGCACGCCAGGUGAUCGACGGUAUGCGCGCAGGCACAGGUGCGCCUUUGGAAUGUAUAUAGACAGACAUCCCUGAAACUUGGUGUGCAUCGUAGACUGCAGUUCUGCAUCAUUUUCUGUGGGACUGUGGCAAGACUCUUCACUGUUUAGACCUUACUGAAAUUUACCGUGAGAGGGUGGAUUCAGCCGAUACCAAGAAAUCAGAACUUGCUGUUUUCGUAGAACUUUAGAUGGUUUGCAUUUGAAAGUAGUUGCUUUUUUUUUGGUGACAAACUGAUAGGCUGUGAAGUCCCAUUCGUAUCUUGCAGAUAGUAAAUCAUGCAUCGCACAUAAGCAAAAAAAUUGGUAACAAACGGUUCUACGCCUUUUGACCGUGGAAUCUUUGGCCAAAGAUAGAGUAAAAUAACAUUCCACCCCAUGUGCUAGAACCCAAAGUGUAGUCCACAUUCCACAAUAAAGUUGCUUAGUUUUAUGUACUGUCCAAUAUUCGUAGAACUUGGUCAUGAAUAGAAGUGAUGGCACCAUCACAACUCCACUUAAGCAGUGUUUCAUUCUUUAGCCAGUGAAGGGCUGAUGGCACCGUCUCAGAUUUCUUUCUAAGCAACUGUAAAGAUCGGCUUUUGCAAUACAUAGAUACCCUUAAUGGUCUGUCCUUAUCUUCAGGACUGUUGAAUUGAUAGUGACCAUGAUUUGGAUGAAGAUUUAGUGUUCCUAAUUAGACCACACACUCAUCUGAGACGUCACAGUACUACAAUCUUGAUAUCAAACUGCACAUGCUUUUGUUAGUUAUCACUGUUAUUUGAACAUUGGAAAGGGAAAAAAGGAGCUCCACAUGCUAGUUCACUGAUGAUCACAGUAUGGUGGUGCAACAGCAGCCACCAGCUUUGGGUAAUACCGGCACAUAGACAAAUAUAAUUGCCUUGAUUCUUGGUGCCGGGUCUCCAUCACAAGUUGAGUCAGACACAGCGGUUAGUGUGAACUUAGGUGUUAACAAUGUUGCCUGCACAUGCUAACCUCCUUCUUGUCUUUGUUAGGUUGCAACAAGAAACCAAUUAGUUCAUCUAUCUAAUCUAAGUAGUAGUAGUAUAUGUUAGCAACUCAUGAUUGCUUCGUUCUUAGAAACGAGCAAAAAGAACGCAGUCUCAUUUCAUAGCCAAACUCUAUUAGCAUGAUAGCAUCUAUUUCGAAGAAAUUUAUGACUUCUGUACAUUCUAAAUUCUUUCCACAAUAAGAAGAACAGAUAUGCCAAAAAUGACGAAAGAAACAGGAGAUUCAAGCCUGAGAAAAGCGCUAGAAGGACGGUCUACAAGCCAUAGAAUGGUAAUGGUAAUGCUGUGCUCCUCAAUAUAGCGACACGGACGAAUCAUCUCCGACCUGCGUGGUGCUGUACUUGUUGGAGGAGUCCGACUUCGUCAAGUCACCGGACCGCCGCCGGAGCAUCUGGCGCAUGCCGUCGGCGACCCGGACGGCGGGGUUGGACUUGAACAUCUUGCAGAAGGCCAUGUGCGCCCUCACGGCCUCCUCCACGCCCGGGUGAGCCUUCUUCCUGCCGGCCUCGUCCCUGACGGCCUCGCAGCACAGCCCGCACAGCCACUGGCCGUAGAAGCUGGCUCUCACGCUCGCAAUGUAGUCUUGGGUGCAGUCCUCCCUCAGGCCACAGCACUCACACUUGACUGACUCUAUCUCCAUUGCUGCUGUGGCUGUUGCUCCGUGCUGUGCUCUGCUGUGGUGUGCUGUGCUGGCCUUGGUUGGCUUCUUGGGAGGCUAUUUGUAGGGGAGGAGGUUAUUACGGUUGCGAGGGCAGGGGUGGGGUGGGGAUGGGAUGGGGUGUAUUUAUGAUUGGAAGGCGUUGCUGCAUGUUCUGAGGCGAGAGAUUUGAGACAGACAGAGUUAGUUGGGCGUGAGCCUCAUUUGCUGGCCUUUUCCCUGGCAUUUAAAAACUCUGGCAUCAGUUGGUGGCUGGAAAGGGCUGCUGUUGCUGUGGGAAUUUGGGAGGGGGGGGCUCUCCCCUUCCACGCAACAUGCAACCUUUGUCCCUUGUUUCUCAAUCCUCCGUUGCCACCUAGUAUACAUUUUUUUUCAGGGUUAGUUCAAAGGAGUUGGUUCUUUGUCAGGUCUCAGUCUUGUCCAGUUUCCUGUAGGUAUGGAUUUCUACAAUGCUUUUUCUGGUGACAUGGGCUAACCAACUGUCAGAGUGAGGACAUCUCACCCUGCUACCAGAUUAGGUUCUAUGCACCAGCACAAGUUAGUCCAUAAAACUCGAAGUGUCGUAGGAUUGCAUAAUUUAACCUGGAUGUUCUUGUCAAUCAAUACUGUCCAUGCUUGCUCGUCCUUUAUAAGUGGCAGUUGGCUCCUGAGAUAUUCUGAAUUGCAUAAUUGUGAGUUGUACACUCACUCCAUCCACAAGCCUUUCUUUUUGAAAAUUACCAUACAGAUUCAGCACAUGGCUUGGUGAAAAAAUAUAGUACCGUGCAGAUUCCAGCAGCCACCUGUAAUUAGGAUUUAGAGAUGGAGGGCAUACACGGUAGUAUCAAUUUUAUAUAUUUUAUUUAUGUUUGAAAAGGUUUAGGGCUAGCUUUAGUCGGUUCACACCUCUUUUCAUGAAGGAUGGCAAAUGGAUUCCACGAUUUACACUGGCCCAUGGAAUCUUUGCUGGUGUUGAAUUGUUUUUUCAGAUGAAAUUGAAUUGGUUAUUGCAUUAUGGAAUCAUGGUUCAUUUCGUAGAGCAUACUAACAAUUAUUGGUUCAACUGUUACCGAAAAAGGGUUCCCCGCUUUUGUAUUCCAAAGCAACCAACACCAAUACAUAUGGCAUUGCUCGGGCGAGCAGCACAUCCAGCCCAAAACCUGUCUCUNUGAUGAAGAAGAAAGAAAUGUCAACAACGGCAACUGACAGAGAGCGGAUGACCCGCCACCGCUGCGCCCUCCGGAGACAGACCACCACAGCCCGAGGCUCCGAUCACACCGCGUAUCAAGCAACAUCUCCAAGAAGGGAUGUGAUGCUGACGACGCUGCUACCCGGACAAGCCCUAGGGUUUCCCCCGGCACGCGGAGGGAAGUACGGGAUGGCUACCCCCGAUACCCUCCAGGAAGGAAUGGUGGCACCCGUCGGUGUCACCACAUCGAAGCCGGAAGAACCGACAAGGAUUUCUCCUGCACUCCAAACCCCACCGCCUAACCGGAGCCGACCAGCCAGACCACCGCCCAACCCCAUGCCCCACCAUGGUAGCGCUGCCACACACCUUGUCACCAACACGAGGCCAAGAAGCUCGGAGAGAAGCGCCAAGCGACAUAGUGGCAGCACUGAAACCAAGCGGGAGGGAACAACCUCCACCGUCGUCGUGCGAGAGGCCAGCACCUCCGGCACUGUCGCGUCGUCGUCCAAACAAGGCAGCAGGGCAUACCAUACCACCCCUGGCCCGGCUAGGCCCAAAAUGGGCUCGCUAAGCCCGCCGGCCAUGCUGCAGCAGGCUGGCGUUGGUGCCGCCAGCACCCAUCAGCUCGUCGCAGCUCCCCUGCCUUCCGAAAGUCCCGCCGUUGGCCCGCCCAAGCCAAAAUGGGCCUUGAAAGGCCUAGAUCUGGGCCGAGAGGCUGCCACCAGGUUGCACCGCAGCGACACCUCGCCCCGCCGUCCAGUAGUCCGCCGCGAGCCCCGUCGCCGCCUAGGAGCACCCCCUGGUGCAGCUCCGCCCCGCACUGGAGAGACACCGGGAGGGGAAGGUCAGGGGGCCGCCGCCACCGACGUCCCCGGGGCCAGGCCGGCCGUGAGCACCAGCGACGGCGGCGGGGAGGAGGAGGAGAGGGGGGCUAGAGGAGGCGGAGGCUGGGGCGCGGCCGGUCGGAAGGAGGAGGUCUAUCUGAACUCAUAAAGUAGGAGUAGCAUGUUCAACUGUUCAUGUUGGUACCGUCGAAGUUUGCGUUCUAAGCAACAGAUAUCCAAAACAAAGUUUUACUCCAUAGAAGAUUUUCUUACUGAAAGUUGAUGGCUGCCUGUCUGGACCCUUCGGUCCUAGCUGGGCGGUGCGGAAUUCAGUCCAUAAAUAUAUUUCUUAUUUCCUCAAAAUGCUAGCUGACGUUGCUUAUUUGUUCCCUCCAAAAGAAAUGGCACCUUUUGUUUCUUAUAAGAUUCCAUGCCGCAACUAGGAUGGACCAUAUCAGUUGGUUUCUUGUACUAUAUAUGUUGUACUGUAGCAGCAAAGGAAUUCUAAUGUCUUGGCAGUACUCUGAGAUAUUUCUUGAUUUGGGUACCCAAGCAUGUCCAUAAAAAUUCGGCGAUGGUAUGAAAAUACAUCAUAACUAUUUUUCUUCGUGAAGGAAAAACAUUAUAGCUUUGUGCUUUGGUACUAGUAAAAAUCGAAACCACGUUUUGUGAAAGUGAUUUUCUUUAACAAGGCAUUAAACUGAAAUUAUUUAAAAAACUAAGCUCUGGGACUGAAACAAUUUACUAGGAAAACAUAUCAACUGGAAUUUGAUGAAUGAAAUGCAAUUUUCUAGACCUGCAUGGAUCGAAUAGAUUCCAUAAUGCUGCAUCGGAACUUGAUCAGCCCCUCGAAAACCACUCUCAUUAUGCUCCAGUUUAACAUUUUCAUUUGCAAUUUGUACUGCCUUUUUGGUUUUGAUGCCAUUUUAUACUGCUUUACAUUCUGACAGUUAAUCACUUGAAAUGGAAGGAUUGGCUACUGAAGGAAUGCGGCGUGGCCAGUUUCGCAAGUUAACUUAUCGUUCACAUGUCACCGUUCCCUGUUAAUGGGCUUGUGAGCUGGAAGAGUCUUUGUCCACUGUCAUACUAUCUGUCCUUUUCUUAUCGCCUAAACAGCUUAUUGACUAAAC